UACAGAGGGGGCAAGCGUUGUUCGGAAUUACUGGGCGUAAAGGGCGCGUAGGCGGCCUGCUAAGUCGAACGUGAAAUCCCUGGGCUCAACCCAGGAACUGCGUCCGAUACUGGUUGGCUUGAAUCCGGGAGAGGGAUGUGGAAUUCCAGGUGUAGCGGUGAAAUGCGUAGAUAUCUGGAGGAACACCGGUGGCGAAGGCGACAUCCUGGACCAACACUGACGCUGAUGAGCGAAAGCCAGGGGAGCAAACGGG
Molecule: ribosomal RNA, 253 nt
Filed under: uncultured bacterium
Lineage: Bacteria
Description: partial 16S ribosomal RNA
Rfam family: Bacterial small subunit ribosomal RNA
Source: RNAcentral